Molecule: ribosomal RNA, 440 nt
Filed under: uncultured bacterium
Lineage: Bacteria
Description: partial 16S ribosomal RNA
Rfam family: Bacterial small subunit ribosomal RNA
Source: RNAcentral
CCUACGGGAGUCAGCAGUGGGGAAUAUUGCACAAUGGGGGAAACCCUGAUGCAGCGACGCCGCGUGAGUGAAGAAGUAUUUCGGUACGUAAAACUCUAUCAGCAGGGAAGAAAAUGACGCUACCUGAAUCAUAAGCCCCAGCUAACUACGUGCCAGCAGCCGCGGUAAUACGGCGGGGGGAAGCGUUAACCGGCUGUACUGGGGGGAAAGGGAGCGUAAACGGCAGCGCAAGUCCGGAGUGAAAUCCCAGGGCUUAACCAUGGAACUGCUGUUGAAACUGUGCAGCGAGAGUGCAGGAGAGGUAAGCGGAAUGCCUAGUGUAGCGGUGAAAUGCGUAGAUAUUAGGAGGAACACCAGUGGCGAAGGCGGCAUACCGGACUGUAACUGACGUUGAGGCUCGAAAGCGUGGGGAGCAAACAGGAUUAGAUACCCGAGUAGUC